Molecule: ribosomal RNA, 260 nt
Filed under: uncultured bacterium
Lineage: Bacteria
Description: partial 16S ribosomal RNA
Rfam family: Bacterial small subunit ribosomal RNA
Source: RNAcentral
GUCCUAGCCGUAACGAUGGACACUAGGUGUUGGCUCCGUUGGGCUCAGUGCCGUAGGUAACCUGUUAAGUGUCCCACCUGGGAGUACGGCCGCAAGGUUGAACUCAAGGAAUUGACGGGCCAGCACAAGCGGUGGAACAUGUGGUUCAAUUCGAUGCUACGCGAAGAACCUUACCCAGGCUUGACAUGCAAGAAGUAGGAACCUGAAGGGGACCACUCGUAACCAGUCGAGAGCUUGCACAGGUGCUGCAUGGCUGUCGU